GGGACCUCAUCGUGGGGGUCGGGGAACUCGCCCAAAAUGUCACAUGAAAGAAGAAGAAAGAAGCUCCAUCACAGAGAACAUUUGGACACCACUACAGCAUCUGCAGCACAGGGUCGGUUCCAACUGAGAGCCCAAACUGGAUUAGAUUUACCUAUGGACCACUGUCAGGUUUUCGGUCAUGCCGGAUUUAUCAAAGAAACAGGCUGGAUCGACGCCACGCCCACUCUCAGCUCUCUUAAAAGGCCCCCUUGUUCUCCUUUUCUAACCCCUCUACUGUACUUACACACAGUGUGUUUGAGCCUCAGCACCACCUAGGAUAACCACACCUACACGUAUCAGCAGGGACAGAGAAUCUCAACUUGCGACGUUUCACAUUAACCCCCAUCCCACCGCCCCCAUCUCUCUCUCCUCCCUCGCCCUCUGAACCAGUAAACAACGUCAUAGCAGGCAUCCAAAGAUGUGUUGAUAUCAUUCCUUAAAAAUAGCUAUCGAGACGGCCCCCUCUGCUAUUGCUCAGAAUGUUUUAAAAGCGCAAAGAGCCGCCCGCGUACAGAGGCACGUGCGUGAGACGCGACCACGUAGUUGUGUUUACUACGGCGCGGGACCUUUGAUUCUUCCCUGCCGAGCCACAGAGCCUCAGCCUCCAUAUGCACCAUGCCACCAGCCUCCUUCCUUUCACUCACCCCCCCCCCCCCCCCCCCCGCUCCCGUUGUUCACAGCAGGCAGCUGGGGAGAGGGAGGGAAUAGCACCGGACAACAGACCUGUCCAGUCUCACUCAUCCCAUCUGUGUGUUCUUAGGUUCCCCCGUGACCACGGCAACAGCGAUCCACCAGUCGCGGAUGACGGCACGAGAGCUUUAAGCCAGAAACCAAAGCAACAAAACACCACACGUUUAAAACAGCAAAAUGUUGGCUCAGAUAAACAAACUGCAGUUGUAUGAAAAAUAACCACCGGCUAGAGAAAGCAUCAGACGUGCCACGUUAAAAUAGAUCCUGUCGCUAGUGGCAACAGUGCAGAGACACAGUAGAUCCAGAUGACACUGCUGUCACUGUGAACAUGAUAGACAUCACAGUGUCUUCAAGGCCAUUACUAGACAAAGCAACUCUGGGUUUUCUUGUCAAACGGGUUCAAAUCAUUGCAGUUGAAAUUUUUCUCAUGUAUUCCCUCCCUGCAAAGGGGUAAAUUUAAUAAGUAUUCUUCGUUGUAGACGUUUCAAAGAUGCAACUUUUUUUCCUGACUGCGACAGACUCUUUUAUUAUUUUUUCUCUGCCAUUAUUAUUCUUGUUUUUAAGUCUUUACUGGAAAGCCUUUAAGUCUCUGACAGAGGCCUUUUUGCAGAAACUGUUCCCUGUGGUGGUGCAAAUGUGUGAUCAGGUUUAUCAUUAUUAUACACAAAUGUCUAUUGCUGUACAUAUGUGUUUCUAAUUCAAAUGGGCUCCUGCAGUUGAGUUUGACCCCGUAAACAAGGCACUGAAGCUUUGAGCAGACCUCUGUGCCUAGUACUAGUGACCCAGAUCAUGUGAAUACACUUCUCUCGUUUUGAGGUCUGUGAUGCCAGUUAUUCUUUGUUAUGCCCCCCCCCCGGUAACAACGGGAAAACAAGUGAACUUCUUGAUCCAAACCCUGAACAGAAACAACCCACUUUUUCUAAAGUGCAAAAAAAGAGACAUAUAACUUCAACCCUCGACUUGUUAAUCUCUGUGUGUGUGCGCUGAUUGUAUUUUAAACGUGUAUGAUGUUACAGUAAAGAAAAUAAUACAUAUCUGUAUUAGGGAAAAAAUAAAGGCUUGAUCUGGUGUACUAAUGUUGCACUAACGCUAGCUUAGUGACUGCAGCCGGGCAGCACCAUAGAGCCCGGAUCCUGUGUCCUGCACCAACAUGACGCUCAGCCUGCUUCAAUGCACAGCCGGGGGCGCACUGCUGAUUCAGGAUCUGUCUCUCCAGUGAGACUGUGCGAACACACACGCACACACAAACGACCCUUGACUACUUGAAUCAACUCCCGUCACGGCGGCGUCAGGAAGAAGAAAACUUUUAGAAAAGACGCAGAGAGAUGCAGGUCUGACAGCGACGUGCCUGAUAAAAAGUUGCCCCACAACGGAACCUAAUCAAUGUCAUGUUGUUAAUUAGAGAAUGGAGAGAAGAAAAAAAAAACGUUGUAGCUAGCAUUACUGAUGGAAAGCGGUUUGACUUUAAUUUCUGUCUCGUCCUGUGUGUUUGUCAUUAAAAUGCUUACACGAUUAAAGUGGUCUUAGCGGUCAGGCCAACCCGAAUACAACAGUGUUUUUUGUCCCCUCGCUAAUCUGUGUGAGUCCAUCGUGAGAACUUGUAGUUCUUUGCAUGCUCUGUGUGAUGUUGUGUUGUUUUGUUUCAUUGUACGUGAAACUAAAAAUGCAGUUAGUACCUGAAAGAGAAAGGUACUGGAAUAAAAAUGCUUGAUUGUGUGUCAAAGUUCA
Pungitius pungitius (ninespine stickleback) is the source of this 2457-nucleotide long non-coding RNA. RefSeq lists it as uncharacterized. NCBI's taxonomy places the organism in Eukaryota, Metazoa, Chordata, Actinopteri, Perciformes, Gasterosteidae. The record is from RefSeq and is a predicted model, not a curated record. The transcript is spliced from 2 exons.